RNAcentral lists this transfer RNA (84 nucleotides) under Candidatus Kaiserbacteria bacterium. RNAcentral's name for it is "tRNA-Leu". It matches the Rfam family "tRNA". From Rfam's summary of the family: Transfer RNA (tRNA) molecules are approximately 80 nucleotides in length. Their secondary structure includes four short double-helical elements and three loops (D, anti-codon, and T loops). Lineage: Bacteria; Candidatus Kaiseribacteriota. The record is from RNAcentral.
GCCGAGGUGGCGGAAUUGGUAGACGCACUGGUUUUAGGAACCAGCGGGAGUAAUCCCAUGGAGGUUCAAGUCCUCUCCUCGGCA